GAUGAACGCUGGCGGCGUGCCUAAUACAUGCAAGUCGAGCGAACAGACGAGGAGCUUGCUCCUUUGACGUUAGCGGCGGACGGGUGAGUAACACGUGGGUAACCUACCUAUAAGACUGGGAUAACUUCGGGAAACCGGAGCUAAUACCGGAUAAUAUUUCGAACCGCAUGGUUCGAUAGUGAAAGAUGGCUUUGCUAUCACUUAUAGAUGGACCUGCGCCGUAUUAGCUAGUUGGUAAGGUAACGGCUUACCAAGGCAACGAUACGUAGCCGACCUGAGAGGGUGAUCGGCCACACUGGAACUGAGACACGGUCCAGACUCCUACGGGAGGCGGCAGUAGGGAAUCUUCCGCAAUGGGCGAAAGCCUGACGGAGCAACGCCGCGUGAGUGAUGAAGGUCUUCGGAUCGUAAAACUCUGUUAUUAGGGAAGAACAAACGUGUAAGUAACUGUGCACGUCUUGACGGUACCUAAUCAGAAAGCCACGGCUAACUACGUG
RNAcentral lists this ribosomal RNA (497 nucleotides) under uncultured bacterium. Its description in RNAcentral is "partial 16S ribosomal RNA". It matches the Rfam family "Bacterial small subunit ribosomal RNA", at positions 28 to 507 of the family's 1533-position model. The record is from RNAcentral.